UACGAAGGGAGCUAGCGAUGUUCGGCAUUACUGGGCGAAAAGCGCACGUAGGCGGCCUUGUCAGUCAGGGGUGAAAUCCCAAGGCUCAACCUUGGAACUGCCUCCGAUACAGCAAGUCUUGAGAUCGGGAGAGGUGAGUGGAAUUCCUAGUGUAGAGGUGAAAUUCGUAGAUAUUAGGAAGAACACCAGUGGCGAAGGCGGCUCACUGGCCCGAUACUGACGCUUAGGUGCGAAAGCGUGGGGAGCAAACAGG
RNAcentral lists this ribosomal RNA (253 nucleotides) under uncultured bacterium. RNAcentral describes it as "partial 16S ribosomal RNA". It matches the Rfam family "Bacterial small subunit ribosomal RNA", at positions 524 to 776 of the family's 1533-position model. The record is from RNAcentral.